UACGGAGGGGGCAAGCGUCGUUCGGAAUCAUUGGGCGUAAAGGGCGCGUAGGCGGCCUGUCAAGUCGGAUGUGAAAUCCCUCGGCUCAACCGAGGAACCGCAUUCGAUACUGUCGGGCUAGAGUCCGGGAGGGGAUGGUGGAAUUCCCAGUGUAGCGGUGAAAUGCGUAGAUAUUGGGAAGAACACCGGUGGCGAAGGCGGCCAUCUGGACCGGAACUGACGCUGAGGCGCGAAAGCUAGGGGAGCAAACGGG
This 253-nucleotide ribosomal RNA is filed under the name uncultured bacterium. RNAcentral describes it as "partial 16S ribosomal RNA". It matches the Rfam family "Bacterial small subunit ribosomal RNA", at positions 524 to 776 of the family's 1533-position model. The record is from RNAcentral.